This 473-nucleotide long non-coding RNA is filed under the name Panax ginseng (ginseng). Its description in RNAcentral is "long non-coding RNA (PGIN_LNC014883)". The record is from RNAcentral. Lineage: Eukaryota; Viridiplantae; Streptophyta; Magnoliopsida; Apiales; Araliaceae.
GAAGCCAUAUUAAGAUCCGAAUUAGCUUCCGAAUCUCCGGUAGACUCAAAGAGCAAGAAAGGAGAAACAUCAACCACAUUAUUCCAGUUCCAAUUACAAUUCCAAUUCCAAUUCCUCCCAUCCAUCUUUCUCUAACCACUCCACUUUUUCUGUUUUACACAAAAAAAAGAGAGAAGAAACUAUUAGACUUCUAUCAUAAUGUGAAGUUAAAAUGAAACCUUUGAAUGCAUAUAUAUAUAUAUAUAUAUAUAUAUAUAUAUAUAUAUAUAUAUAUAUAUAUAUAAAAGUACUAUAUAUGUAUGACUAGCUAGUCCUAUUAUAGUAUAUAUUAAAGAUAAAGAUUAAGAAGGAAAUUAAGAGGUAAAAGGGUUGUUUCAAACUUGAAAAUUGUGUGGCCUGGCCUACCUUUUUUUAAUUAUCCUUUGAAACUUCGAGGAGGAAUUUGAGUUUGAGACUACUGACUUGGUUUAAAG